Molecule: ribosomal RNA, 497 nt
Filed under: uncultured bacterium
Lineage: Bacteria
Description: partial 16S ribosomal RNA
Rfam family: Bacterial small subunit ribosomal RNA
Source: RNAcentral
GAUGAACGCUGGCGGCGUGCCUAAUACAUGCAAGUCGAGCGAACAGACGAGGAGCUUGCUCCUCUGACGUUAGCGGCGGACGGGUGAGUAACACGUGGAUACCCUCCCUAUAAGACUGGGAUAACUUCGGGAAACCGGAGCUAAUACCGGAUAAUAUAUUGAACCGCAUGGUUCAAUAGUGAAAGACGGUUUUGCUGUAACUUAUAGAUGGAUCCGCGCCGCAUUAGCUAGUUGGUAAGGUAACGGCUUACCAAGGCAACGAUGCGUAGCCGACCUGAGAGGGUGAUCGGCCACACUGGAACUUAGACACGGUCCAGACUCCUACGGGAGGCAGCAGUAGGGAAUCUUCCGCAAUGGGCGAAAGCCUGACGGAGCAACGCCGCGUGAGUGAUGAAGGUCUUCGGUUCGUAAAACUCUGUUAUUAGGGAAGAACAAAUGUGUAAGUAACUAUGCACGUCUUGACGGUACCUAAUCAGAAAGCCACGGCUAACUACGUG